GACGAACGCUGGCGGCGUGCCUAAUACAUGCAAGUAGAACGCACAGUUUAUACCGUAGCUUGCUACACCAUAGACUGUGAGUUGAGAACGGGUGAGUAACGCGUAGGUAACCUGCCUGGUAGCGGGGGAUAACUAAUGGAAACGAUAGCUAAUACCGCAUAAUAUUGAUUAUUGCAUGAUAAUUAAUUGAAAGGUGCAAUUGCACCACUACCAGAUGGACCUACGUUGUAUUAGCUAGGAGGUGAGGUAACGGGUAACCUAGGGGACGAUACAUAGACGACCUCAAAGGGUGAUCGGCCACACUGGGACGGGAACAUGACCCAGAACCCUGCGAGUGGCAGCAGUAGCGAAUCUUUGGCAAUGGCCGAAAGUCUGACCGUUGAACGCCGGGUGAGUGAAGGAUGCUUUCAGGUCGUAAAGGUCAGUAAUAAGUUAGGAUCGGGUGUCAGUGUUGAACGUUCAGAUUGUGACGGUACCUUAACAGAAAGCGACGGCUAACUACGUG
This 505-nucleotide ribosomal RNA is filed under the name uncultured bacterium. RNAcentral's name for it is "partial 16S ribosomal RNA". It matches the Rfam family "Bacterial small subunit ribosomal RNA", at positions 28 to 507 of the family's 1533-position model. The record is from RNAcentral.